CUUUGUCUCGUUAACAAAAUGGAUUUGCCUACAAAUGGUAUAACCUCAACACCUUAACUGAAGAACCACAAGUUGCAAAAAAAUCUUCAAUCGCUGUCAGUUUCACCAUCACCAUCACUUUACGCAUCAAUUUAUGUGGUGCUUCAGAAAAGGGGUUAGACCAAAUUUCCUAUUUGCUUUGAAGGUUGGAGUAGUUGUGGAGAACAUCAAGUCUGCUAUCACAAAGGGAGUAGUAGAAGCAGCCGACAUGUUCGUUCCCAAGUCACUGCCUCCAGUUUCCUUUAUCUGCAUCAUCUCUCUUGCCAAAUAAUCCGACCCAUUUGUUUCAACUGAGGAAACCACCGCACACUAACAUCGUUACGUCUCUCAACAAUAUAAAUACUGUAGUUGAAGAACAAAUUUAUCAUGCUUUCCUGAUGACGACGUAUGCUGUUUGAUUCCCCUUUACUGAUUUGAGGCUGAGAGCGACUGAUGUUGAAAACCAGAUGUUCAUUGAUCAAGGGUUUUGUUUAUGGGAUUUUCAAAUUGAAAUCCAAAGUUCAGCCGUUUGAUCAUAUCUUCUCUGCAAUGCUGCAACUGAUUUUUCCCACAUCCAAGGUUAUUGUUGCAGUCUCCACACAAUCCUCUCUCAGUCAUCGCAAGCUUCCAAUCGGUUCUAACGCCUUUCCUCUACCAACUUUGUCCUAUUUUGUGUACUUCAAACAUUUGAGUAUGCUCUGGACAAGUUUUGAACUGUUUCAAGUUUGCAAAUAAGCAUGAUGAUGUAUGGUGGAGAUUGCAUAGGUGAGCUGAUUAAUGUAGAUCUUGAAUAUUCUUGCUUGGAUUUUAGAUCCUAGCAGACAAAUGAAAUCAAAGGUUAGCAUUUUUGAUUAAUAAAAAAGCGUAAAAUGCAACAAAUAGCAACUUAGUUUCACUAAUUGUUUAUUAUAGCAUCCUACUUCCAUAUCUAUAAUUGGUUAGAAUUUUCAUAGCAUACCGCCUAAUAAAGAAAAAAGGCUGAAAGCAUAACGGUGUAAAAAAUGGGAUGCUUACAAAUAAAUGAAAGUAUGUUGCUAUUUCAAUCAUGUGUUAACCUUUUCAUUUACUACUUAAUUUCUUGAACGUACUUUGCUUAUUCGGUUACAAACUGUUUUAUGAUGCACCGGUUAAUGGAUGUAAGAAAGGAUAGAAUGAAACAACGAUGCCAACCAAUUCCAUUAUUUGGAUUACUUAUUUGAUAACAGUUCACUAGGACCAAUGAACUGGAUGCUGAUUACAAAUAUCUGUUCUUUCACCUUUAAAAUCCACAAAAAAUUUUCAUUUGUAUGUAAGGGUUUAAUGUUGAGAUGUAGAACAGACAUUGAACAGGAUUAGAGAAGAAAUUAUGAAGGCAGCAGAUGAGUACAAUGGAUUCUACCAACUCCACCCGCUUUUUCUACUUUGUUUCCGAAAUUGGAACAUGUUCUUCUUAUUAGCUUCGCUCACCACAUGUUCGAUAAAAUGCCUUUGAGGCAUUCACAACAAUUGUAACCAAGAAAAGAUCUCUCAAUGUGAUUCCCUCAAGAUUGUUAAUUGUGGAUUGUUGAAUAACACCUUCUUUCACUUUUGAGAUUAGGUCAACGAAAUUAGAAUUCCGCUAUUAUGGGUAAAACAGUAAGAACAUUGUUAUUUUCAACAAUUUUCCCUUCAACUAAUAUGAUUACAUGUUCCAUUUUAGAGGA
Molecule: non-coding RNA, 1700 nt
Organism: Lactuca sativa (garden lettuce)
Lineage: Eukaryota; Viridiplantae; Streptophyta; Magnoliopsida; Asterales; Asteraceae
Source: RefSeq, a predicted model, not a curated record